Molecule: transfer RNA, 72 nt
Filed under: Camelus bactrianus (Bactrian camel)
Lineage: Eukaryota; Metazoa; Chordata; Mammalia; Artiodactyla; Camelidae
Also listed under: 1 other name
Rfam family: tRNA
About the family: Transfer RNA (tRNA) molecules are approximately 80 nucleotides in length. Their secondary structure includes four short double-helical elements and three loops (D, anti-codon, and T loops).
Source: Rfam by way of RNAcentral
GGUGAUAUACCUUAGAGGUAGAGCACAUGCUUAGCAUGCACGAGGUCCUGGAUUCAAUCCCCAGUACCUCCA